RNAcentral lists this unclassified non-coding RNA (199 nucleotides) under Kurtzmanomyces sp. Its description in RNAcentral is "partial internal transcribed spacer region". The stretch from base 1 to 46 matches the Rfam family "Eukaryotic small subunit ribosomal RNA", at positions 1786 to 1831 of the family's 1831-position model. Lineage: Eukaryota; Fungi; Basidiomycota; Agaricostilbomycetes; Agaricostilbales; Chionosphaeraceae. The record is from RNAcentral.
AAGUCGUAACAAGGUUUUCGUAGGUGAACCUGCGGAAGGAUCAUUAGUGAAUUCUGGGAGUCCCUCUUCAUCAGAGAAGGCCCAAUCCACUAUUUCACACACCCUUGUGCAAUUGUCCCCUUUUUAAUAUAACCCUUGUGCAUUUGAAACAAGUUGAUCAAAGAAAGAAAAACUUUCAGCAAUGGAUCUCUUGGCUCUC